Molecule: long non-coding RNA, 368 nt
Filed under: Olea europaea (common olive)
Lineage: Eukaryota; Viridiplantae; Streptophyta; Magnoliopsida; Lamiales; Oleaceae
Description: long non-coding RNA (OEUR_LNC008340)
Source: RNAcentral
AUAGAAACAGAGGCGAAAAUGAGGGAGGCAAACCGUCGCUGCGAACAUGAGGCACCACUAAAAUUGGGGAAUUACACAGAAUAGAUACACAUAUACAGAGACCAAAAAAAAUUCAAUUGGCAGCUUCUUUUGGAGGAUGCAUUAAGGGAACUGAACUCUUCAUUAAACGACACAGUGGCGGCUAGAGAAAAGAAGAAAAGGAAAAUACACGCACGCGGACUAAAGAAAGGCAGACAGGGACAACACAAAAUUGUAGAAUUAAUUAUGUUUCAUCGAUUUUUUGUGAUAUCUUUUCACUUUUAUUUGUUUAAUUUCGACAUUAUGUUAGGUUAAAUUAUUUAGUGCUAGGAUUUUUAGUGAAUCUUGUA